This 292-nucleotide ribosomal RNA is filed under the name uncultured bacterium. Its description in RNAcentral is "partial 16S ribosomal RNA". It matches the Rfam family "Bacterial small subunit ribosomal RNA", at positions 505 to 796 of the family's 1533-position model. The record is from RNAcentral.
GUGCCAGCAGCCGCGGUAAGACAGAGGCCUCAAGCGUUAGGCGGAAUCACUGGGCUUAAAGCGUGUGUAGGCGGAUCGUUAAGUGCCUUGUGAAAUCCCACGGCUUAACUGUGGAACGGCUGGGCAUACUGGCGGUCUUGAGCCAUCUAGGGGCGACUGGAACAAACGGUGGAGCGGUGAAAUGCGUAGAUAUCGUUUGGAACGCCAAUGGUGAAAACAGGUCGCUGGGGAUGCGCUGACGCUGAGACACGAAAGCCAGGGGAGCAAACGGGAUUAGAAACCCCUGUAGUCC